Molecule: ribosomal RNA, 441 nt
Filed under: uncultured bacterium
Lineage: Bacteria
Description: partial 16S ribosomal RNA
Rfam family: Bacterial small subunit ribosomal RNA
Source: RNAcentral
CCUACGGGGGGCAGCAGUGGGGGAUAUUGCACAAUGGGGGGAACCCUGAUGCAGCGACGCCGCGUGGGUGAUGGAGGGUUUCGGAGCGUAAAGCCCUAUCGGCAGGGAAGAAGGAGGACGGUACCUGACAAAGAAGCGCCGGCUAACACCGUGACAGAAGCCGCGGUAAUACGGAGGGGGCAAGCGUUAUCCGGAUUUACGGGGUGUAAAGGGGGCGCAGACGGCAGCGCAAGCUAGGAGUGAAAGCCCGGGGCACAACCCCGGGACUGCUCUUGGAACUGCGCGGCUUGAGUGCAGGAGGGGGUGGCGGAAUUCCUGGUGUAGGGGUGAAAGGCGUAGAUAUCAGGAGGAACACCGGUGGCGAAGGCGGCCUGCUGGACUGCGACUGACGUUGAGGCCCGAAAGCGUGGGGAGCAAACAGGAUUAGAUACCCGGGUAGUC